RNAcentral lists this ribosomal RNA (798 nucleotides) under Nocardioides sp. RNAcentral's name for it is "bacterial SSU rRNA". It matches the Rfam family "Bacterial small subunit ribosomal RNA", at positions 78 to 889 of the family's 1533-position model. The record is from RNAcentral. Lineage: Bacteria; Bacillati; Actinomycetota; Actinomycetes; Propionibacteriales; Nocardioidaceae.
CUUCGGUGGUACUCGAGCGGCGAACGGGUGAGUAACACGUGAGUAAUCUGCCCUUGGCUUCGGGAUAGCCACCGGAAACGGUGAUUAAUACCGGAUAUGACCGUCUGCCGCAUGGUGGGUGGUGGAAAGUUUUUUCGGCCAGGGAUGUGCUCGCGGCCUAUCAGCUUGAUGGUGAGGUAAUGGCUCACCAUGGCUUCGACGGGUAGCCGGCCUGAGAGGGUGACCGGUCACACUGGGACUGAGACACGGCCCAGACUCCUACGGGAGGCAGCAGUGGGGAAUAUUGGACAAUGGGCGGAAGCCUGAUCCAGCAACGCCGCGUGAGGGAUGACGGCCUUCGGGUUGUAAACCUCUUUCAGCAGGGACGAAGCGCAAGUGACGGUACCUGCAGAAGAAGCACCGGCCAACUACGUGCCAGCAGCCGCGGUAAUACGUAGGGUGCGAGCGUUGUCCGGAAUUAUUGGGCGUAAAGGGCUCGUAGGCGGUUUGUCGCGUCGGGAGUGAAAACCAGGUGCUUAACACCUGGCUUGCUUUCGAUACGGGCAGACUAGAGGUAUUCAGGGGAGAACGGAAUUCCUGGUGUAGCGGUGAAAUGCGCAGAUAUCAGGAGGAACACCGGUGGCGAAGGCGGUUCUCUGGGAAUGACCUGACGCUGAGGAGCGAAAGUGUGGGGAGCGAACAGGAUUAGAUACCCUGGUAGUCCACACCGUAAACGUUGGGCGCUAGGUGUGGGGUCCAUUCCACGGAUUCCGUGCCGCAGCUAACGCAUUAAGCGCCCCGCCUGGGGAGUACGGCCGC